Molecule: long non-coding RNA, 3162 nt
Organism: Brassica napus (rape)
Lineage: Eukaryota; Viridiplantae; Streptophyta; Magnoliopsida; Brassicales; Brassicaceae
Exons: 6
Source: RefSeq, a predicted model, not a curated record
CUUUUGAUGUCAUCAGAGUUUCUUUCCGGAAGCUUUGGCAACAAAAUCCAACUGAAAGUCCCAUGUCUCCACGGUAAGUCUCUGUAGUUUGUAUUUCAAGGACAUCUCACCAGGUCCACCCGAAUCUGAAUUAGUAUUUCGAAUCUAAAGUUAUGGCGAUGAUCAAUUUCUUUUUUCCUUCAAUGGUGUUGAUAACCUAUUUGAAAAGCCGUCGCUUUGUAGUUUUCAUGUCGAUUCGCUUGAUCCAGUCUUCUCACAAUUUUUUAGUUUUUCUCGAUAAGGUUAAAGUGCCGUAGCGAUUGCUGUAAGGUGUGAAGAUAAAUGUCUGUCGAAUAUGAUCUCUGAAUGAAAACAUGAAGAAGUGUCAGUAUGCCGUAAGUGGUGAGUUUUCCCUAGAAGGAACAUUAUCUUCCCUACCCUCGCAUCUCUAAAAAGCCAUCAGGAUGAAUCACUACUCUGCAUAUACUGAGGAGUCUGGACAAUUAUAUGGGACUGCUUUGGCGUAGGACCUGCUCUAGCUGAAGGGUAGGGAGAUUGAAUAUGACUUCCUGGAACUGAAUAGCCCUGUACCGUUGUAUAACUGUGACCAACAGGGAUGUUUUGAUUCAGUUGCCCGUAUUGGUAGCCUGGUGAGUUAACUGCCCCAGGUACUCCAUAAACCUGAAGGUGCUUACAGUGACUCAAGAGGCCUUCUGGAAGCUAGGAAAGAGGUUGCUGAGUUCAUUGAAUGACUUGAUGGGUAUCCCAGUGAUCCAAAACUCAUAUUCUCCACUGAUGGAGCUAGCUAAGGUGUGAAACAAAUCUUAAACUGUGCUAUACGCAGUGAGGGAGACAUGCAAUAUGAAGAAGAGCAGGAGAGUGCAAGUGCCACCAAGAAGCUUCACCAGAAAAGGCAAUUCAUCACAAUUUAAGUAGAAAAAAUAUGAAGUAUGAUCAGAAGAAAUAAGAUUUUGUCUAUAUCUCUUCUCCUCUAUGCAGAUCAACCAAAACGAUGGACGUAGCCCACGACUCUGAGCUUCCCCAAACAAGUAUGAGAAGACAAGUAGUAAAAGUGCUUUAUGUUUUAGUUAUUUCCUUAGUAUCUCAGUUGCACAUAGCAUGUUGUUUGUCAAUAGAGUUUGUGUCAGUGACGUUGUUGCAUCUUUUGAAACUUUAAAGCUUAAUAAAAGUGAAAGAUCGUUGAUAUGUUAUCGAUGAAGUCGAAUGAAUGUUGCUACCAUUUAUCUUUUUCUUUAAAAUCAAAUCAAAUGGGUUGAUUGUCCACUGCGUUUAUUAAAACGUUUUCCCGAUACUAAAGGAGUUGUGAAUGUCUUAAUAUGCUAAACAAAUCUUCAGAAGUAGUUUGAUUUUGCAUAAUAAGAAACUGUAGUAGCAGGUUGGAUCGAGGAAAGGAAUCAAAGAGAAAGAAUAAUAAUAAAAAGAUUGAGAUCCGAGAAAAAGACCAAAAGGUUUGAACAAUACACAUAAUCAAUCCCCUGGACAAAAAAGAUUGUUCAAAACAAAUGUUUUCUACUACUAUUACUUUUAAAUAAUCUCCACUCGAAGGAGAAUAUUUUUUGUAUUACAGAAGGGAAUUUGUAAAUUUGAAAACGUUAUUGGAUCCACGUGUUUUUUUAAUAUUCAAAAUCAUAAAAGUUCAAGUUUUCGUUAAGAUUAUGAGACUUUCAAUUAUACACAUAAAACUGUAUGUUUUAGCGGAAAUUUAUUUUUUCAAAGAUACAUUUUUGUAUUUUCAAUACAUUUUAUUAACUAAUAAUGAUAAAUUCUAAAUUUCAAAUACUAAUUGCAUUUCUUGACUUUUUACCGGUUUAGAAUUAUAAGAAAUAUAAAUCACAAAAUAUAUAUUUAUAACUAAGACUUAAAUAAAUAUAUAUUCACAAAAAUAAGAUUUAAUAUGUGUAAAAAUUGUAAAACAUAUAUGAUUUGCAACAGAGGGAGUAGUAUAUUAGAGUUUUAGAUUAGUAGUUGGUGUAAAAUCAAUUAUACACACUUGACUCUCAUUUUAAUAUAUAUGUAACUAUUGUGAAUGUACGAAAAAUUUAAUUAUUGUGAAUGUAAGAAAAUUUAACAUUUAUGGUAAAUGAAGUUUUAAGCAAUUAUAUUUUAAUUGAGUAUAAAAGUACAUAUUAAAAUUUUUUUUGAUAUAAUCUCUUAUGAAAUUCAAAAAUUACUACUAUUUUCAUUUUAAUUUAAUUGUUGUUGUAGAGUAAAUUGUUUGUUUCAAGAUAAAUGUUGUUUUAGAAUUUAAAUACAUAAUUGAUUAACUUUAUAUGUUAUAUGAUUUUUGUAUUCUUCAGUCUAUUUUUUACUGAUUGAAAUGUGAUUAAGUGUAUAACUAAUGAUAUUUUAUUUUAGUAAUAUACAAAAUUAAUUUUUUUUUUACAUCUGUAUGCACAAAUCGAAAAUGACAAUUAAAAUGAAACAUAAUUAGUAUUAUAAAAACAUUACAUUCACCUUAAACAUUGUUAGUCCUUUUAGGUGUGUGAUCAUGGAAGAAUAACACUCAUUGCUGGCCAAUUGGUUAAUGCAUCAAAUGUCUAAAAAAUUAUAUUAAUAGAAAACUACAAAAAAAUGUCUAAAUUGUUUUAAAAUAAUAUGCAAACAAUAUUUGUUUUAGAAUUAAUAUAGUACACUAUUAUAUGUUAGAAACAGACUUUUAAAUCCUGAUAUAUUAGAAAUUGCUAAAUUUGUUUUAUUGAAAUUCAAUAUUAUAUUAUCACACAUUUUAAAAAUGAUCUCAGUUCUAUUUCCUAAGAUAAGUAUAUAAUAGUCAAUUGGAAAAUGUUAAUGUAAACCUAGAACAAAAUUAUUAACUGUGUAACUUGAUCAGAAUUGUUUUUGCCAUGCAUUGACUUAAAGUGAUAUUUUAGUCAUUUUCAAGUAAAUGAAUCAAAGAUACACAACUAUAAUAUGAAAAAAUUAAUACGCAAUGUCAAUUCCUCAUAUUUAUCAUAUUAAUUGUUGUCUUCCGCACUAUUGGUUUCAAAUAAUAAUAACCUAUUAUAUAACCAAAUAAAUAAAUUUGAUACGGCUUAAGGAAAUUUUUUCAUAUAUACAAUAAAUAAAACAAAACAACAGUAAAAUAUUAAUUUGAAAUAAAACAAAAAAUGACUACUCUAAAUUUAUAAUGAAAAAGUACAAAAAUUGUAAAAAAUAGAAAUU